Molecule: long non-coding RNA, 165 nt
Organism: Sus scrofa (pig)
Lineage: Eukaryota; Metazoa; Chordata; Mammalia; Artiodactyla; Suidae
Source: RefSeq, a predicted model, not a curated record
GUUGGGAAAUAUGUUUUAUCCGGCUGACUUUCUCAGGACUUAAGCAGGAGCCAGCCUCUCAGCUCUGAGGGACUACUUCAAAGAGAUGAGAAGACAGAGGCUGAGUCAAAUGAAAAGAUUCACUCUCCUGUAGUGUUGAAGGUUUUCUUCAAAAGAUCUAAGGUA